RNAcentral lists this unclassified non-coding RNA (421 nucleotides) under uncultured Sebacina. RNAcentral's name for it is "sequence contains ITS2". The stretch from base 1 to 154 matches the Rfam family "5.8S ribosomal RNA". Lineage: Eukaryota; Fungi; Basidiomycota; Agaricomycetes; Sebacinales; Sebacinaceae. The record is from RNAcentral.
AACUUUCGACAACGGAUCUCUUGGCUCUAGCAUCGAUGAAGAACGCAGCGAAAUGCGAUAAGUAAUGUGAAUUGCAGAAUUCAGUGAAUCAUCGAAUCUUUGAACGCACCUUGCACCCUUUGGUAUUCCGAAGGGUAUGCUCGUUUGAGUGUCAUUGUACUCUCACUCUCUCUGAUCCUUUGGAUUCAGGGAGUGGUGGACUUGGGUGUUUGCUGCUUCCUUGUGGCUCACCUCAAAUGCGUCAGUGCACCUCUUGAUUGGACAUAGUACGGCGUGAUAAGUAUCUUCGCCGGCACCUCGCAAAAGGGUGGCCGAUUGGGAGCUCUGUGCUUUCAAACCGUCUUCGGACAAUUUCUGACAACUUGACCUCAAAUCGAGUAGGACUACCCGCUGAACUUAAGCAUAUCAAUAAGCGGAGGCU